This 504-nucleotide ribosomal RNA is filed under the name uncultured bacterium. RNAcentral describes it as "partial 16S ribosomal RNA". It matches the Rfam family "Bacterial small subunit ribosomal RNA", at positions 29 to 523 of the family's 1533-position model. The record is from RNAcentral.
AUUGAACGCUGGCGGCAGGCCUAACACAUGCAAGUCGGACGGUAGCACAGAGAGCUUGCUCUUGGGUGACGAGUGGCGGACGGGUGAGUAAUGUCUGGGGAUCUGCCCGAUAGAGGGGGAUAACCACUGGAAACGGUGGCUAAUACCGCAUAACGUCGCAAGACCAAAGAGGGGGACCUUCGGGCCUCUCACUAUCGGAUGAACCCAGAUGGGAUUAGCUAGUAGGCGGGGUAAUGGCCCACCUAGGCGACGAUCCCUAGCGGGUCUGAGAGGAUGACCAGCCACACUGGAACUGAGACACGGUCCAGACUCCUACGGGAGGCAGCGGUGGGGAAUAUUGCACAAUGGGCGCAAGCCUGAUGCAGCCAUGCCGCGUGUAUGAAGAAGGCCUUCGGGUUGUAAAGUACUUUCAGCGGGGAGGAAGGCGGUGAGGUUAAUAACCUUGCCGAUUGACGUUACCCGCAGAAGAAGCACCGGCUAACUCCGUGCCAGCAGCCGCAGUAA